UCGGGAAUUUUGGGCAAUGGGCGAAAGCCUGACCCAGCAACGCCGCGUGAGGGAUGAAGUAUUUCGGUAUGUAAACCUCGAAAGAAUGGGAAGAAUAAAUGACGGUACCAUUUAUAAGCUCCGGCUAACUACGUGCCAGCAGCCGCGGUAAUACGUAGGGAGCAAGCGCUGUUCGGAUUUACUGGGCGUAAAGGGCGCGUAGGCGGCGCGGUAAGUCACUUGUGAAAUCUCUGAGCUUAACUCAGAACGGCCAAGUGAUACUGCUGUGCUAGAGUGCGGAAGAGGCAACCGGAAUUCUUGGUGUAGCGGUGAAAUGCGUAGAUAUCAAGAGGAACACCUGAGGCGAAGGCGGGUUGCUGGGCCGACACUGACGCUGAUGCGCGAAAGCCAGGGGAGCAAACG
This 402-nucleotide ribosomal RNA is filed under the name uncultured bacterium. RNAcentral's name for it is "bacterial SSU rRNA". It matches the Rfam family "Bacterial small subunit ribosomal RNA", at positions 355 to 774 of the family's 1533-position model. The record is from RNAcentral.